RNAcentral lists this ribosomal RNA (678 nucleotides) under Salmonella enterica subsp. enterica serovar Anatum. Its description in RNAcentral is "bacterial SSU rRNA". It matches the Rfam family "Bacterial small subunit ribosomal RNA", at positions 865 to 1533 of the family's 1533-position model. Lineage: Bacteria; Pseudomonadati; Pseudomonadota; Gammaproteobacteria; Enterobacterales; Enterobacteriaceae. The record is from RNAcentral.
UAGACCGCCUGGGGAGUACGGCCGCAAGGUUAAAACUCAAAUGAAUUGACGGGGGCCCGCACAAGCGGUGGAGCAUGUGGUUUAAUUCGAUGCAACGCGAAGAACCUUACCUGGUCUUGACAUCCACAGAACUUUCCAGAGAUGGAUUGGUGCCUUCGGGAACUGUGAGACAGGUGCUGCAUGGCUGUCGUCAGCUCGUGUUGUGAAAUGUUGGGUUAAGUCCCGCAACGAGCGCAACCCUUAUCCUUUGUUGCCAGCGAUUAGGUCGGGAACUCAAAGGAGACUGCCAGUGAUAAACUGGAGGAAGGUGGGGAUGACGUCAAGUCAUCAUGGCCCUUACGACCAGGGCUACACACGUGCUACAAUGGCGCAUACAAAGAGAAGCGACCUCGCGAGAGCAAGCGGACCUCAUAAAGUGCGUCGUAGUCCGGAUUGGAGUCUGCAACUCGACUCCAUGAAGUCGGAAUCGCUAGUAAUCGUGGAUCAGAAUGCCACGGUGAAUACGUUCCCGGGCCUUGUACACACCGCCCGUCACACCAUGGGAGUGGGUUGCAAAAGAAGUAGGUAGCUUAACCUUCGGGAGGGCGCUUACCACUUUGUGAUUCAUGACUGGGGUGAAGUCGUAACAAGGUAACCGUAGGGGAACCUGCGGUUGGAUCACCUCCUUACCUUAAAGAA